RNAcentral lists this long non-coding RNA (1077 nucleotides) under Cyanistes caeruleus (blue tit). RNAcentral describes it as "lncRNA (ENSCCEG00000022383.1)". Lineage: Eukaryota; Metazoa; Chordata; Aves; Passeriformes; Paridae. The record is from RNAcentral.
AUGGAUCCUGGGGAGCUGGGGGUGGAUGGAUCCUGGGGAGCUGGGGGUGGAUGGAUCCUCUGGAGCUGGGGAUGGAUGGAUCCUGGGGAGCUGGGGAUGGAUGGAUCCUCUGGAGCUGGGGAUGGAUGGAUCCUGGGGAGCUGGGGAUGGAUGGAUCCUCUGGGAGCUGGGUGUGGAUGGAUCCUGUGGGAUCUGAGGGUGGAUGGAUCCUGUGGGAGCUGGGGGUGGAUGGAUCUUCUGGAGCUGGGGGUGGAUGGAUCCUGUGGAGCUGGGGAUGGAUGGAUCCUGUGGAGCUGGGGAUGGAUGGAUCCUCUGGAGCUGGGGAUGGAUGGAUCCUGUGGGAGCUGGGGAUGGAUGGAUCCUGUGGGAUCUGAGGGUGGAUGGAUCCUGUGGGAUCUGAGGGUGGAUGGAUCCUGUGGAGCUGGGGGUGGAUGGAUCCUGGGGAGCUGGGGAUGGAUGGAUCCUGUGGAGCUGGGGACGGAUGGAUCCUGUGGAGCUGAGGGUGGAUGGAUCCUCUGGAGUUGGGUGUGGAUGGAUCCUGUGGGAUCUGAGGGUGGAUGGAUCCUGUGGAGCUGGGGGUGGAUGGAUCCUGGGGAGCUGGGGAUGGAUGGAUCCUGUGGGAGCUGGGGAUGGAUGGAUCCUGUAGGAUCUGAGGGUGGAUGGACGCUCUGGGAGCUGAGGACAAGGCUGCACGCUGUUCUGGGAGGUGUCACUGGCACCAGGGCUGGUUCCAGGAGCCCUGGGCGCGUUUGGGAGCCCAGAGCAGCCCCAGCAGCCCAGCCCUGCCAAGCUGCAGAGUCACUUCCCCAAGUGACGGGGACACAGGCGGAGCUGCCCUCGGAGCCUGCAGGGCACAGACACCUCCUGCCACCUCCUGCCACCUCCUGCCACCUCCUGCCACCUCCUGCCACCUCCUGCCACCUGCUCUGGGCACAGGGCUGGCCAGGACAGCAUGUGAGAGCCCCAGGCAGCACGGACCAGGGCCGAGCAGCCAAGGGAGCCUCGCCACAAGCUGUUCCAGAGGAGGAUGGAGAACCCACUGCUUUUAUUCCCCCAGCUCAACGUUUCUGCUUCUGA